AGUGAACGCUGGCGGUAGGCCUAACACAUGCAAGUCGAACGGCAGCACAGUAAGAGCUUGCUCUUACGGGUGGCGAGUGGCGGACGGGUGAGGAAUACAUCGGAAUCUACUUUUUCGUGGGGGAUCACGUAGGGAAACUUACGCUAAUACCGCAUACGACCUACGGGUGAAAGCAGGGGAUCUUCGGACCUUGCGCGAUUGAAUGAGCCGAUGUCGGAUUAGCUAGUUGGCGGGGUAAAGGCCCACCAAGGCGACGAUCCGUAGCUGGUGUGAGAGGAUGGUCAGCCACAUGGGAGCGGAGACAGGGUCCAGACUCCUACGGGAGGCAGCAGUGGGGAAUAUUGGACAAUGGGCGCAAGCCUGGUCCAGCCAUACCGCGUGGGUGAAGAAGGCCUUCGGGUUGUAAAGCCCUUUUGUUGGGAAAGAAAAGCAGCAGGUUAAUACCCCGCUGUUCUGACGGUACCCAAAGAAUAAGCACCGGCUAACUUCGUG
RNAcentral lists this ribosomal RNA (492 nucleotides) under uncultured bacterium. RNAcentral describes it as "partial 16S ribosomal RNA". It matches the Rfam family "Bacterial small subunit ribosomal RNA", at positions 29 to 507 of the family's 1533-position model. The record is from RNAcentral.